CCGUCCCGGUAACCUUUAAUGACAUUGAAUGAGAUUUUUUUAUAACAACAAACUUUUUGUUAGGUGGAUUCAUUGUUGGGAAACCCGCAACUUCCAAAAGCCAAACUUAUUCAUGGGAAUUGAAUUGCUUUUCAUAGACUCAAAGGUAUUCUUACAAAUUUAAAUUAAUCUAAUCUAUAAUUUUAUUGUUAAUAUUCAUACUAACUCUUUCAUGAUCAAACCAUUUCAGUUGAUAACCAUUCAAGCGUUUAUCCCGAAACACUUCAUUCCUCGCCGAAUCAGGUAUUGGUUCAUGUUGGUUUAGUAUUGUUUUUGGUUUACUAACCGGUUUCGGAUGGUCUUAUUGUAAAUAUAAUUUAAGUUGGUUUAGCAUAUAUUAUGUUUAAAAUAACUUAAAUUAAAUAAUAAUAAUAUUAU
RNAcentral lists this long non-coding RNA (417 nucleotides) under Brassica rapa (field mustard). RNAcentral's name for it is "long non-coding RNA (BRAP_LNC007053)". The record is from RNAcentral. Lineage: Eukaryota; Viridiplantae; Streptophyta; Magnoliopsida; Brassicales; Brassicaceae.